RNAcentral lists this ribosomal RNA (468 nucleotides) under uncultured bacterium. RNAcentral's name for it is "partial 16S ribosomal RNA". It matches the Rfam family "Bacterial small subunit ribosomal RNA", at positions 28 to 507 of the family's 1533-position model. The record is from RNAcentral.
GACGAACGCUGGCGGCGUGCUUAACACAUGCAAGUCGAACGGAUAUGCCCUGCUUUUGUGGUGUGCUCGAGUGGCGAAAGGGUGAGUAACACGUGAGUAACCUGCCCUUUACUUUAGGAUAACUUCAGGAAACUGGGGCUAAUACCGGAUCUGAGCUCCUGCUGCAUGUUAUGGGUUGUAACGUUUCGGCGGUUGGGGAUUGACGCGCGGCUUAUGAGCUUGUUGGUGGGGUAGUGGCUUACGAAGGCUUUGAGGGGUAGCCGGCCUGAGAGGUUGAACGGGGCCAUGGGGACUGAGAGACGGAGCAGAAGCGUACGGGAGGCAGUAGUGGAGAAUAUGACAGAACGGGGGGACGUGUGAGGAAGAAACUCCGGGAGCGGGAUGACGGCCUGUGGGUUGUAAACCGCGUUCGCAGGUGACGAAGCGUGAGUGACGGUAAUGGGUAAAGAAGCAACGGCUAACUACGUG